Suncus etruscus (white-toothed pygmy shrew) is the source of this 166-nucleotide small nuclear RNA. RefSeq annotates it as U1 spliceosomal RNA. The record is from RefSeq and is a predicted model, not a curated record. The transcript has a single exon. Lineage: Eukaryota; Metazoa; Chordata; Mammalia; Eulipotyphla; Soricidae.
AUACUUACCUGGCAGGGGGUGAUUUUAUGAUCAGGAAGGUGGUUUCCUCUGGGUGAGGCUUGCCAUUGGACUCCGGGGGCAUGCUGACCCCUGCGAUUUUCCCAAAUGUGGGAAACUCAACUGCGUAAUUUAUGGUAGUGGGGGACUGCGUUUGAGCUCUCCCCUG